UUUAGUUUGAUGUAGCUAAACUGAACUGAUGAACCUUUGUUUACGAAUAUAGUUUGCCCAUCUGGAUAAUUGGGCAUUGAAAGUUAAAGUUAAUUGUGAAACUCCAUAGGAAGCAUGGACUGUAAAUAACUCAAAAUGUUUUGAAUAUUUGUACUGGAGACACCCGUUCUUAAUAUUGUGCCUAACUAUGGAACACAUCCAGCUUGUUCACGUUGUUUAAGUUUAUAUGCAAAAGGUAUUCAUGGUAGAAACAUUUGUGUAAGUAAAUGAGUCUGCACAUAGCAUCCAAGAUUGUUUAAAAUUGUUUUCACACCCUUUUGUUGUUUAGAGUUGUUUAGAGUGUAAUGUUAUUGACCUAGUUGUCAUGUAUUCUAGUGACUUCCGUCAUGUUUGAGGGGGCGGGAUGUCAUGGAAUGACCCUUUUCUUGUUCUGAAAGUUAUGUUUAAGACUUGUGACGAGACUAGAAGAAAUAGUUCGGAGAAGAAGGGGAAGACGAGAGUUGUUAUCUACGUAAUGGCAGUUCGCCAACAGCGACGACAGUCGCUAACAGUUUAGCAGUUUGCUUGCAGUUCCAGCAUUUCUAUGUUGAGUUGGGAACUCUUUAGAUAAUCCUUAAGGAAUUAUCCCACACAGUUGUUGAAUUUUUUCUCUUCACUUUCCAAUGAUGGUCCACGACAGUGUCACAAUAAAGGAACCAACAUGAGUUAAA
This is a long non-coding RNA of Strongylocentrotus purpuratus (purple sea urchin), 710 nucleotides long. RefSeq lists it as uncharacterized. The record is from RefSeq and is a predicted model, not a curated record. The transcript is spliced from 2 exons. NCBI's taxonomy places the organism in Eukaryota, Metazoa, Echinodermata, Echinoidea, Camarodonta, Strongylocentrotidae.